CCGGCCCGGCGCGGGGUUAGAGCCGGAACCCGCUGAGGGCUGGGGGCGCGGGUGCUUCCCGCCCGCACCGCCCUGGCCCCUCCGCGGGGAGCCCACAGGGCUGCGUUGAGGCUGAGAGGCAGUGGAUGCCGAGACAAACAGUGGGUGCUCAAUAAAUGCAGCGCAGCCCCCCCCCCCAAGGGUGAGUCAUCCCCGUCCUGGCCCUGGGCCGGGGAGCAGGGCCCUCGGGUGUCAUCUGGCUCCACCCGCCGUGCGAUGUGACCUGGGCAGGGCUCCGCCCCUCUCCCGGCCUCAGUUUCCCGCCGCCUAAGUUCGGGGGAGGGCUGGGCCAGGCCAGCUGCGGGGCGCGGGCGGCCCCCGCGCGGCUCCCCCCCCAGGCGCUGCCCGCGGUCUCCGCCGGGCCCGGCCACGUCCGCUGCCCACGGGGCCGCCAUAAAAGGCAAGCGGCCGCAGGUCGCGCAGCCAAACUUAGUCAUCCGGCCCGCGGGCCGCCGGGCUGCGCGCGGCAGCUUCCUCCCCGAACUUCCCGUUUUCCGAGGGGCCCGGGGAGGGGGCCCGAGGUGCGGCCUGGGCCUUUCGAAACGCUUCGGCUCAGCGGCUGGGGGCUUGGCCAGGGGGCGUCCCCGGCUGGCGCUUUCAUCCCGGAGCUGCGGGUCGGCGCCAGCGAGGGCGGCCCGGGCUGCCGCCCAGAUAAAUCUCAGCCAGGGGCCAUCUGUGCAGUGUGAGAGCCUCCGGGCGAAACCACCCUGCCGGCGUCCCUGGAGCAGGGAUCGGUCACGGGUAUGGGACGGAAUGCAGUGCAAAGGAAGGACCAGCUCGCCCGCGCUACAGUGGCUGGCGGUGCAUGAACCCCAGGGGCACCCCUCGAGCUGUCUGCUUCCGGCUCCAUGUACAGGCAAAGCUAACUCGAGAAAACAAAGCUGAAGGAAACACGGAAAGAUGAUGACCAGGUCUGGGAGUACGUUGUUGUCCUCUCUGUCCUUUUCCGUGUAUUUGAAAUACUGCACAAACUUUUCACAAUGAAAGGGGGAAAAAAGCACAAUGGCGUGGAAUCGGACAUCGUGGUCAGCCUCUCUGACCCUCAGUUACUUCUUCGGUACAAUGGGGCAAUCAAUAAUCCCUUUGGGGAAAGUUUAUUGAGAAUUAUAUGCAGUGAUGUAUGCAAAGUGCUGAGUAUGAGCCCGAGGCUCUGCCUCACCCCAGGCCUUGCUGGACAAGAGGAGGCCGUGGGAAAGCAUCAAGCAAGAGGAGCGUCCUUAGCAGCCCCAGGACCCAGCCAUCACCCACCCACCAAGAGGUCUGGCUGCAGUCUCCCAGAGACCCUACUGGGGGAGACAUUUCUCUCCUCCUUUUUUAGAGGAGACAUCUGAGGCCUAGAGGGCACACAGGCACCCCCUCUCUCAUGCACACGAUUGCACUGAGGGGCUGGGCACUCUGAGUCUGAACAUCUGGGUGAAUGCACUUGGAGCUCAGAGUCCGGGCGCUACAGCUUCUGGGGCUGGUUGAAGAAUCUAACCUUCCCUGCUGAAGACCCCGUAACCCCCUCGUCUCUUGCAGACUCCCCCACCACCACCUUGGAAUGAAGAUCAGAUUUUAGCCUGCCCCAGGCGCUCUGAAGUCAAGGUUGACCCUGGAGAAAAUAGCUUAUACUCCAAAUGAAAGACAAAUGUUGCUAAUUUCCUUUUUUUUUUUUUUUUUUAAGAUUUUAUUUAUUUGUCAGAGAGAGAGAGAACAAGCAGGGGGAGCAGCAGAGGGAGAAGCAGGCUCCCCGCUGAGCAAGGAGCGGGACGUGAGGCUUGAUCCCAGCACCCUGGGAUCAUGACCUGAGCCUGAGGCGGAUCUUAACCGACUGAGGGGCCCAGCAGGUGUCCCCAGAUGUUGCUAAUUUCCAUCAAUAGGAAGGUAGGGGCUCUGGGUGGAGAAGGGCUCUGGGGUGUGAGGCCCAACAGGGUGGACUACGACACAGCAUGGGGUGGGGCUGGGUUUAUGGGUAUGAACGGUGGCCAGAGAGUCAGAGUGUAAGGGGUCAGCUGGUGCGGCUGGAAGGGCCUCCAACAGUUUGCCAGGCUUGUAGACUGAAGUUUCAACCAACCCAUCCGUGGCCUAUACUCAGUGAGGCAGAUAGGCCAGAACUUUCCCGGGAUAAGUGGUAGGAAGAGGCCCACGGGAGUGACUUAUAGGUAACCUGCACACCUUUGGAGGGGCAGUGUCCUCAUCCCUGUGCAGGUAACCCCUGUGGGCGGGCAGCAGGGGGUGGUAUUCCACUGGCAUGGCCUCCUGAUCUCAGGGGGCUGAUGGAACCCCGAAUGGCAGAGGCUGAGUGGAGACUCUUAAGCAUCAGAGGCCAGGUGGGACACAGAGAUGACACAGAGAUGGAGCUAUUCCUGCAAAGUACCAACCUGCAGGAGUUUUUGAUGGAGCCUGAUCACGGUGUUCUUAGGACUGAAGUAGCUGGGCUCCCCUACAGCAUCGCUUGGACGAUAUAAUGGGAAAACGCAAGAUCUGGUGGAUAGAGACCCGACCGGAGCCCCCACAGUUUAGAAUUUCUAGGCUUGGGAGAUGUUAUUUAGUGCAU
Long non-coding RNA from Mirounga angustirostris (Northern elephant seal), 2575 nucleotides. RefSeq lists it as uncharacterized. NCBI's taxonomy places the organism in Eukaryota, Metazoa, Chordata, Mammalia, Carnivora, Phocidae. The transcript has 3 exons. The record is from RefSeq and is a predicted model, not a curated record.